Long non-coding RNA from Aegilops tauschii subsp. strangulata, 735 nucleotides. RefSeq lists it as uncharacterized. NCBI's taxonomy places the organism in Eukaryota, Viridiplantae, Streptophyta, Magnoliopsida, Poales, Poaceae. The record is from RefSeq and is a predicted model, not a curated record.
GUCGUCGAAAGCCCCUCGCUCGCACGCCGCAUCCCUCCCUCCCUCCUCAGCCGCGACAGCACGAAUCGACGAACCCUCUCCCUCUCCAUUGCGUGUGCGUGCUCAUCGCCUCCCGCUCCCCAUCGUUCCCCCGACGCCUCCACCGGCUACCAUGGAUCCAUGGGCGAUGGGACAGUACAAGGGAGGGAAGGACGCCGCCGUCGACCCGUCGCUUAGGUUGGUGGCGCAUGGGUCGGGUCUGGGCAGAAGGCCGGCGCCUGCAGGGGGAAAGCAACGGGGGUUGGUGCAGCGGCAAAUGAGGACGGGGUGGGCCAUGGACGGAGGCUCGCCGGCCGGAGCAGCCGGAGCAACAUGUUCGAUGAAAUGUGUGUGUGGUGACCUUUCUUUUUUUCAUCUCGUUUUGCCUGCUGGUCCGCCUUGGUGUAGUCCUCUGUCUAGCCUGCUUUCUUGGCCUGGUUCUGCUUUCUAGAUCUGCAGGUUCGACGAUCUGCUAGGUUGCUGCAUCUGCAACUCUGUGCUGCUGUUCAAGGUUUGCUUGAUUCUUUUUUACCUACAUGCUUGUUCUUUCUCGCUGCACAGAUGCUUCUCUUUCUCUAAGUACUGAACUCUGCUGUGCUGUCUCUAGCUACAUGAAUUUACUUUUCUUCGUCGGUCUAAUUGUCUAUUGAUGGGUCAUUCAUGUUAUGGUUAUGUGAACUUUAAGAUGUAAUAAUAUAUGGUGUUUAAAUUUUUAUU